Molecule: ribosomal RNA, 485 nt
Filed under: uncultured soil bacterium
Lineage: Bacteria
Description: bacterial SSU rRNA
Rfam family: Bacterial small subunit ribosomal RNA
Source: RNAcentral
AGAUUGAACGCUGGCGGCAUGCUUUACACAUGCAAGUCGAGCGGCAGCGCGGGGCAACCUGGCGGCGAGCGGCGAACGGGUGAGUAAUGCAUCGGAACAUGUCCAUGUCGUGGGGGAUAGCCCGGCGAAAGCCGGAUUAAUACCGCAUACGCCCGAGAGGGGAAAGUGGGGGACCGCAAGGCCUCACGCGAUUGGGUUGGCCGAUGUCCGAUUAGCUAGUUGGCGGGUAAGAGCCCACCAAGGCGAUGAUCGGUAGCUGGUCUGAGAGGAUGAUCAGCCACACUGGGACUGAGACACGGCCCAGACUCCUACGGGAGGCAGCAGUGGGGAAUUUUGGACAAGUGGGGCAACCCGUGAUCCAGCCAUUCCGCGUGAGUGAAGAAGGCCUUCGGUGUAAGUCUCUUUGUCCGGAACGAAACGGUAGACGUGAAUAUACGCUGUCUACUGACGGUACGGAAGAAUAAGCGACCGACGUAACUACGUCG